AGUGAACGCUGGCGGUAGGCCUAACACAUGCAAGUCGAACGGCAGCACAGUAAGAGCUUGCUCUUACGGGUGGCGAGUGGCGGACGGGUGAGGAAUACAUCGGAAUCUACUUUUUCGUGGGGGAUAACGUAGGGAAACUUACGCUAAUACCGCAUACGACCUACGGGUGAAAGCAGGGGAUCUUCGGACCUUGCGCGAUUGAAUGAGCCGAUGUCGGAUUAGCUAGUUGGCGGGGUAAAGGCCCACCAAGGCGACGAUCCGUAGCUGGUCUGAGAGGAUGGUCAGCCACACUGGAACUGAGACACGGUCCAGACGCCUACGGGAGGCAGCAGUGGGGAAUAUUGGACAAUGGGCGCAAGCCUGAUCCAGCCAUACCGCGUGGGUGAAGAAGGCCUUCGGGUUGUAGAGCCCUUUUGUUGGGAAAGAAAAGCAGCAGGUUAAUACCCCGCUGUUCUGACGGUACCCAAAGAAUAAGCACCGGCUAACUUCGUG
RNAcentral lists this ribosomal RNA (492 nucleotides) under uncultured bacterium. Its description in RNAcentral is "partial 16S ribosomal RNA". It matches the Rfam family "Bacterial small subunit ribosomal RNA", at positions 29 to 507 of the family's 1533-position model. The record is from RNAcentral.